This 133-nucleotide non-coding RNA is filed under the name Skeletonema dohrnii. Lineage: Eukaryota; Bacillariophyta; Thalassiosirophyceae; Thalassiosirales; Thalassiosiraceae. The record is from RNAcentral.
CCUUCUUUUACCUUCUUUUAUUCCUUUUACGUUUUCCUCACUUUUACCGCACCUAACGCGCAAUCUUUUACAUACUAAAAGCGAGAAAAGUUAGCCUAAAAGAGACAUGUAAAAGAAAAGUAAAAGAGUGUUA